Molecule: ribosomal RNA, 403 nt
Filed under: uncultured bacterium
Lineage: Bacteria
Description: partial 16S ribosomal RNA
Rfam family: Bacterial small subunit ribosomal RNA
Source: RNAcentral
AUUGAACGCUGGCGGCAGGCCUAACACAUGCAAGUCGAGCGAGUGGCGGACGGGUGAGUAAUGUAUGGGGACUGCCCGAUAGAGGGGGAUAAAUACUGGAAAAGGUGGCUAAAACCGCAUACUACUGGAUAAGCCAUAUGGUAUUAGCUAGUGGGUGGGGUAAAGGCUCACCUAGGCGACGAACUCUAGCUGGUCUGAGAGGAUGAUGGGCCACACUGGGACUGAGACACGGCCCGAACUCCUACGGAGGCAGCAGUGGGGAAUAUUGCACAAGGGGGGAAAGCCUAAUGAAGCCAGGCCCCGUGUAUGAAAAAGGCCUUAGGGUGGUAAAGUACUUUCAGCGGGGAGGCGUUACCCGCAGAAGAAGCACCGGCUAACUACGUGCCAGCAGCCGCGGUAAUAC